GAGAAAUGAGGAUAUCUACUAUGUCUUACUGUUAAGUGAAGACAUCAGAUCCAACUCUGAUCUUGCUGUGUGC
This is a small nucleolar RNA of Hemicordylus capensis (graceful crag lizard), 73 nucleotides long. RefSeq annotates it as small nucleolar RNA SNORD19. The record is from RefSeq and is a predicted model, not a curated record. The transcript has a single exon. NCBI's taxonomy places the organism in Eukaryota, Metazoa, Chordata, Lepidosauria, Squamata, Cordylidae.